UGUGGAUUUCGACAGGCUGUUUCC
This 24-nucleotide non-coding RNA is filed under the name Rattus norvegicus (Norway rat). The record is from RNAcentral. Lineage: Eukaryota; Metazoa; Chordata; Mammalia; Rodentia; Muridae.